RNAcentral lists this ribosomal RNA (226 nucleotides) under uncultured bacterium. Its description in RNAcentral is "partial 16S ribosomal RNA". It matches the Rfam family "Bacterial small subunit ribosomal RNA", at positions 93 to 334 of the family's 1533-position model. The record is from RNAcentral.
ACAUGGCAGACGGCUGCGUAACACGUUGGAACCUACCCCGAACCUCAGGGAUAACCCUCCCGAAAGGAGGAGUAAUACCGAAUACACUCGCAAGAGGAAAGCUUUAGCGGUUUGGGAGGGGCCUGCGGCCUAUCAGUUAGUUGGUGAGGUAACGGCUCACCAAGACGAUGACGGGUAGCUGAUCUGAGAGGAUGAUCAGCCAGAAUGGAACUGCGACACGGUCCAU